CCUACGGGUGGCAGCAGUGGGGAAUAUUGCACAAUGGGCGAAACCCUGAUGCAGCGAAGCCGCGUGAGUGAAGACGUAUUUAGGUAUGUAAAGCUCUAUCAGCAGGGAAGCAGCACGACGGUACCUGACUCAGAAGCCCCGGCUAAGCACGUGCCAGCAGCCGCGGUAAUACGUAGGGAGCAAGCGUUAUCCGGAUUUAAUGGGGGUAAAGGGAGCUUAGGCGGUAUGGCUAGUCUGAAGUGAAAGUCCAGGGCCUAACCCUGGGACGGCUUUGGAAACUGGUAGACUAGAGUGCUGGAGAGGUAAGUGGAAGGCGUAGUGUAGCGGUGAAAUGCGUAGAUAUUAGGAGGAACACCAGUGGCGAAGGCGGCUUACUGGACAGUAACUGACGUUGAGGCUCGAAAGCGUGGGGAGCAAACAGGAUUAGAUACCCGUGUAGUC
Molecule: ribosomal RNA, 441 nt
Filed under: uncultured bacterium
Lineage: Bacteria
Description: partial 16S ribosomal RNA
Rfam family: Bacterial small subunit ribosomal RNA
Source: RNAcentral